CCUACGGGAGGCAGCAGUUAUUAAUAUUGUUCAAUGGGCGGCCGCCUGAACCAGCCAAGUAGCGUGCAGGAUGACGGCCCUACGGGUUGUAAACUGCUUUUAUACGGGAAUAACGCGCCUUACGUGUAGGGCUUUGCAUGUACCGUAUGAAUAAGGACCGGCUAAUUCCGUGCCAGCAGCCGCGGUAAUACGGAGGGUCCGGGCGUUAUCCGGAUUUAUUGGGUGUAAGGGGAGCGUAGGCCGCAUGUCAAGCGUGCUGUGAAAUGGCUGGGCUCAACCCGGGCCUUGCAGCGCGAACUGGCGGGCUUGAGUCCGCGGAAGGCAGGCGGAAUUCGUCGUGUAGCGGUGAAAUGCUUAGAUAUGACGAAGAACCCCGAUUGCGAAGGCAGCUUGCUGCAGCGGAACUGACGCUGAUGCUCGAAAGCGCGGGUAUCGAACAGGAUUAGAUACCCGAGUAGUC
Molecule: ribosomal RNA, 460 nt
Filed under: uncultured bacterium
Lineage: Bacteria
Description: partial 16S ribosomal RNA
Rfam family: Bacterial small subunit ribosomal RNA
Source: RNAcentral